Molecule: ribosomal RNA, 633 nt
Filed under: uncultured bacterium
Lineage: Bacteria
Description: bacterial SSU rRNA
Rfam family: Bacterial small subunit ribosomal RNA
Source: RNAcentral
CGGAGAGUUUGAUCCUGGCUCAGAUUGAACGCUGGCGGCAUGCCUUACACAUGCAAGUCGAACGGCAGCACGGAGCUUGCUCUGGUGGCGAGUGGCGAACGGGUGAGUAAUAUAUCGGAACGUACCCUAGAGUGGGGGAUAACGUAGCGAAAGUUACGCUAAUACCGCAUACGAUCUAAGGAUGAAAGUGGGGGAUCGCAAGACCUCAUGCUCGUGGAGCGGCCGAUAUCUGAUUAGCUAGUUGGUAGGGUAAAAGCCUACCAAGGCAUCGAUCAGUAGCUGGUCUGAGAGGACGACCAGCCACACUGGAACUGAGACACGGUCCAGACUCCUACGGGAGGCAGCAGUGGGGAAUUUUGGACAAUGGGCGAAAGCCUGAUCCAGCAAUGCCGCGUGAGUGAAGAAGGCCUUCGGGUUGUAAAGCUCUUUUGUCAGGGAAGAAACGGUGAGAGCUAAUAUCUCUUGCUAAUGACGGUACCUGAAGAAUAAGCACCGGCUAACUACGUGCCAGCAGCCGCGGUAAUACGUAGGGUGCAAGCGUUAAUCGGAAUUACUGGGCGUAAAGCGUGCGCAGGCGGUUUUGUAAGUCUGAUGUGAAAUCCCCGGGCUCAACCUGGGAAUUGCAUUGGAGAC